This 253-nucleotide ribosomal RNA is filed under the name uncultured bacterium. RNAcentral describes it as "partial 16S ribosomal RNA". It matches the Rfam family "Bacterial small subunit ribosomal RNA", at positions 524 to 776 of the family's 1533-position model. The record is from RNAcentral.
UACGUAGGGGGCUAGCGUUGUCCGGAAUCAUUGGGCGUAAAGCGCGUGUAGGCGGUUCGGUAAGUCCGCUGUGAAAGUCGGGGGCUCAACCCUCGGAUGCCGGUGGAUACUGUCGGACUAGAGUACGGAAGAGGCGAGUGGAAUUCCUGGUGUAGCGGUGAAAUGUACAGAUAUCAGGAGGAACACCGAUUGCGAAGGCAGCUCGCUGGGACGUUACUGACGCUGAGACGCGAAAGCGUGGGGAGCAAACAGG